This 687-nucleotide long non-coding RNA is filed under the name Numida meleagris (helmeted guineafowl). Its description in RNAcentral is "lncRNA (ENSNMEG00000005854.1)". The record is from RNAcentral. Lineage: Eukaryota; Metazoa; Chordata; Aves; Galliformes; Numididae.
UUCUGAUCCGGGUGGCACGUUAAAUUCCUCCGGGUGUUGGUUGAGCAGAUGUGGAGGAGAUUGGCCACUGCACUGCUGCAAAAUUAACGGCUGAGAUUAUAGGUCUACAAUGGGAAUGACCCAAAUGUUUUCUCACUUUUAUUUUUAUUUCUUUCCAGAGGAGAGUUUUUUAUAAACACUGAUGCGUAACGACAUUGAGAAGGAGGUACCUCGUUGCCAACAUCGCCAUCGCUGCUCGCUGCCCUGUGUGCCUCUCCUCUCACGUGGCAGCAGGGCAAGAAAGCCAUGAGAACACGGAACCAGCUGCAGGGUGAGUCCAUAACACCUGAGUUUUCCUUUGAGAUGUCGUCCUUGGCCAGCCAGUGCUGGUGGAGGAGCUGCAGAAGGCACAUGCUAGUGAGGACAGCGUGGAAACCCACUCAGCCCUCAGCUCCCAUACAGAUAGGCUUUGAGCAGCUGGGCCAGCCUGGUCUGAUGGGCCGUCAGGAUGAGCAGGAAUUUCCAGAGCAUCCUGUUGCACAGAGCUGGUGGGGUGAUGAUGGCACAGACUGGGCUCCAAGCUCUGCUCUUCUCCUUGGGCAGCUCUCCGUCCUGUACUGCUGCGUUGAGUGUCACACCCAAGGAAAGAGCCACCUGGUACAGCAGCAGGGGAAGAGCUACAAUAUAGUUGGAAUGAAACUGGGAUGA